UACGUAGGGGGCAAGCGUUGUCCGGAUUUACUGGGCGUAAAGAGCGUGUAGGCGGCCAUGCAGGUCCGUUGUGAAAACUCGAGGCUCAACCUCGAGACGUCGAUGGAAGCCAUCUAGCUAGAGUCCGGAAGAGGAGAGUGGAAUUCCUGGUGUAGCGGUGAAAUGCGCAGAUAUCAGGAAGAACACCCGUGGCGAAGGCGGCUCUCUGGUACGUGACUGACGCUGAGACGCGAAAGCGUGGGGAGCGAACAGG
Molecule: ribosomal RNA, 253 nt
Filed under: uncultured bacterium
Lineage: Bacteria
Description: partial 16S ribosomal RNA
Rfam family: Bacterial small subunit ribosomal RNA
Source: RNAcentral